RNAcentral lists this ribosomal RNA (476 nucleotides) under uncultured organism. RNAcentral's name for it is "partial 16S ribosomal RNA". It matches the Rfam family "Bacterial small subunit ribosomal RNA", at positions 331 to 798 of the family's 1533-position model. The record is from RNAcentral.
GUACACUCCUGCGGGAGGCAGCAGUGGGGAAUAUUGCACAAUGGGCGCAAGCCUGAUGCAGCCAUGCCGCGUGUAUGAAGAAGGCCUUCGGGUUGUAAAGUACUUUCAGCGGGGAGGAAGGCGAUAAGGUUAAUAACCUUGUCGAUUGACGUUACCCGCAGAAGAAGCACCGGCUAACUCCGUGCCAGCAGCCGCGGUAAUACGGAGGGUGCAAGCGUUAAUCGGAAUUACUGGGCGUAAAGCGCACGCAGGCGGUCUGUCAAGUCGGAUGUGAAAUCCCCGGGCUCAACCUGGGAACUGCAUUCGAAACUGGCAGGCUAGAGUCUUGUAGAGGGGGGUAGAAUUCCAGGUGUAGCGGUGAAAUGCGUAGAGAUCUGGAGGAAUACCGGUGGCGAAGGCGGCCCCCUGGACAAAGACUGACGCUCAGGUGCGAAAGCGUGGGGAGCAAACAGGAUUAGAUACCCCAGUAGUCCCAU